Molecule: long non-coding RNA, 928 nt
Filed under: Panax ginseng (ginseng)
Lineage: Eukaryota; Viridiplantae; Streptophyta; Magnoliopsida; Apiales; Araliaceae
Description: long non-coding RNA (PGIN_LNC010733)
Source: RNAcentral
UGCUCGUGAAUGGCCCUCCGAUUUCUGGCGUUGAUCGCAACAUGGCAUUGCAGCUUCCUAACAAGUGCACUGCUAAUUUUCAACCAUGUAAUGAAGACUGAACUUGUUCUUUAUGUUUUGAUAGACACACUCUUUCUUUUAUAUUUAUUUAUUACUAUAUAUUAUUUAUAUAAGUCUGGUCUGAUAAUUUGAUUGCUCUUGUUGCAGGUGAAAUUCUGAAGUAAAAGGAUGUUAUUGUGGGGCAGAGAAGAAUUUUAGGAAUAAAUGUGUGUGGAGAGCUGUUCUAGGCCUGUCCAUACAAUUUCUAGUGCUGCUAAACAUAAAGUUUUCCCUUAUGUUUUUAAUGGAAAUGCAGUUAAUAAUUUCUUGGUAUGUCCAUACAAUUUUUAAGCUUUUAAUGUGGGCUGUUUGUUGGAGAGGCUAAAUUGCGGCAGGUGGUCAGUGGUCUGGCCAAACAUUGCAGUCCAGAUCAGUUGACGAUAUGAAUAUUUAGUUAGUUACUUAUCAUUUUCUUUAGUUUGGAGGCACAAUUUUACUCUUGUAAACAGCCUCCUAUUGUACAUUCAGUUUAUCACAAUACCAUGAUCAGGAUAUAUUACUUUAUUAGUUGUUUUUGCUCUUAUUUACCUUGCAGAACCGCCAUGUGGUACUUAUCACUAACGUGAAACCUGGAAAACUAAGAGAUGUGAUGUGAUGCCAGAGUUUGUCAUUUUGAAGUUACAGGCCAAGUCAUUGUUGAUGCUGGUUUGCCUAGGCUUUUUUGCACAUGCUUUGGUAGUAGCUUAAUUUUAUGAAUAGUUUGGUUUAUUGUGGUUUAUUUUAUGGAUUGAAAAGUGAAUUUGAGAUGUAUAUAUUGAUAUUUUGGUAUAUAUUUUUUGGAUGUAGUAAUUUGAAACUGUAAACGAAUAGUAUUAUUGGGAUGUAUUUU